This 449-nucleotide ribosomal RNA is filed under the name uncultured bacterium. RNAcentral describes it as "partial 16S ribosomal RNA". It matches the Rfam family "Bacterial small subunit ribosomal RNA", at positions 29 to 523 of the family's 1533-position model. The record is from RNAcentral.
AACGAACGCUGGCGGCAUGCCUAAUACAUGCAAGUCGAACGAGAUCUUCGGAUCUAGUGGCGCACGGGUGCGUAACGCGUGGGAAUCUACCCUUAGGUUCGGAAUAACAUCGGGAAACUGAUGCUAAUACCGGAUGAUGACGUAAGUCCAAAGAUUUAUCGCCUGAGGAUGAGCCCGCGUAGGAUUAGCUAGUUGGUAGGGUAAAGGCUUACCAAGGCGACGAUCCUUAGCUGGUCUGAGAGGAUGAUCAGCCACACUGGGACUGAGACACGGCCCAGACUCCUACGGGAGGCAGCAGUAGGGAAUAUUGGACAAUGGGGGCAACCCUGAUCCAGCAAUGCCGCGUGAGUGAUGAAGGCCUUAGGGUUGUAAAGCUCUUUUACCCGGGAUGAUAAUGACAGUACCGGGAGAAUAAGCCCCGGCUAACUCCGUGCCAGCCGCCGCCGUAA